RNAcentral lists this ribosomal RNA (497 nucleotides) under uncultured Chryseobacterium sp. RNAcentral describes it as "partial 16S ribosomal RNA". The record is from RNAcentral. Lineage: Bacteria; Pseudomonadati; Bacteroidota; Flavobacteriia; Flavobacteriales; Weeksellaceae.
UACGGAGUUAGCCGGUGCUUAUUCGUAUAGUACCUUCAGCUUUCCACACGUGGAAAGGUUUAUCCCUAUACAAAAGAAGUUUACAACCCAUAGGGCCGUCGUCCUUCACGCGGGAUGGCUGGAUCAGGCUCUCACCCAUUGUCCAAUAUUCCUCACUGCUGCCUCCCGUAGGAGUCUGGUCCGUGUCUCAGUACCAGUGUGGGGGAUCACCCUCUCAGGCCCCCUAAAGAUCACUGACUUGGUAGGCCGUUACCCUACCAACUAUCUAAUCUUGCGCGUGCCCAUCUCUAUCCACCGGAGUUUUCAAUAUCAAAUGAUGCCACUUAAUAUAUUAUGGGGUAUUAAUCUUCCUUUCGAAAGGCUAUCCCCUGAUAAAGGCAGGUUGCACACGUGUUCCGCACCCGUACGCCGCUCUCAAGAUCCCGAAAGAUCUCUACCGCUCGGCUUGCAUGUGUUAAGCCUCCGCUAGCGUUCAUCCUGAGCCAGGAUCAAACUCU